RNAcentral lists this ribosomal RNA (253 nucleotides) under uncultured bacterium. RNAcentral's name for it is "partial 16S ribosomal RNA". It matches the Rfam family "Bacterial small subunit ribosomal RNA", at positions 524 to 776 of the family's 1533-position model. The record is from RNAcentral.
UACGUAGGUGGCAAGCGUUGUCCGGAUUUACUGGGCGUAAAGAGCGUGUAGGCGGCCAGACAGGUCCGUUGUGAAAACUCGAGGCUCAACCUCGAGACGUCGACGGAAACCGUCUGGCUAGAGUCCGGAAGAGGAGUGUGGAAUUCCUGGUGUAGCGGUGAAAUGCGCAGAUAUCAGGAAGAACACCUAUGGCGAAGGCAGCACUCUGGGACGGUACUGACGCUGAGACGCGAAAGCGUGGGGAGCGAACAGG